GACGAACGCUGGCGGCGUGCCUAAUACAUGCAAGUCGAACGAGAGCGACCGGUGCUUGCACUGGUCAAUCUAGUGGCGAACGGGUGAGUAACACGUGGGUAACCUGCCCAUCAGAGGGGGAUAACAUCCGGAAACGGAUGCUAAAACCGCAUAGGUCUUCGAGCCGCAUGGCUUGAAGGGGAAAAGAGGCGCAAGCUUCUGCUGAUGGAUGGACCCGCGGUGCAUUAGCUAGUUGGUGAGGUAACGGCUCACCAAGGCCGUGAUGCAUAGCCGACCUGAGAGGGUGAUCGGCCACAUUGGGACUGAGACACGGCCCAAACUCCUACGGGAGGCAGCAGUAGGGAAUCUUCCGCAAAGGACGCAAGUCUGACGGAGCAACGCCGCGUGAGUGAAGAAGGUUUUCGGAUCGUAAAACUCUGUUGUUAGAGAAGAACAAGUGCUAGAGUAACUGUUAGCGCCUUGACGGUAUCUAACCAGAAAGCCACGGCUAACUACGUG
Molecule: ribosomal RNA, 498 nt
Filed under: uncultured bacterium
Lineage: Bacteria
Description: partial 16S ribosomal RNA
Rfam family: Bacterial small subunit ribosomal RNA
Source: RNAcentral